UACGUAGGGGGCGAGCGUUGUCCGGAAUCAUUGGGCGUAAAGCGCGUGUAGGCGGUUCGGUAAGUCCGCUGUGAAAGUCGGGGGCUCAACCCUCGAAUGCCGGUGGAUACUGUCGGGCUAGAGUGCGGAAGAGGCGAGUGGAGUUCCUGGUGUAGCGGUGAAAUGCGCAGAUAUCAGGAGGAACACCAAUUGCGAAGGCAGCUCGCUGGAACGUUACUGACGCUGAGACGCGAAAGCGUAGGGAGCAAACAGG
RNAcentral lists this ribosomal RNA (253 nucleotides) under uncultured bacterium. RNAcentral's name for it is "partial 16S ribosomal RNA". It matches the Rfam family "Bacterial small subunit ribosomal RNA", at positions 524 to 776 of the family's 1533-position model. The record is from RNAcentral.